AGGGUUUGAUCCUGGCUCAGGAUGAACGCUGGCGGCGUGCUUAACACAUGCAAGUCGAACGAACCUUCGGGUUAGUGGCGGACGGGUGAGUAACGCGUGGGAAUCUGCCCUCAGGAGGGGGAUAACGGCCGGAAACGGCCGCUAAUACCCCAUAUGCCGAGAGGUGAAAUGAAUUUCGCCUGAGGAUGAGCCCGCGUCUGAUUAGCUAGUUGGUGAGGUAAGAGCUCACCAAGGCAUCGAUCAGUAGCUGGUCUGAGAGGAUGAUCAGCCACACUGGGACUGAGACACGGCCCAGACUCCUACGGGAGGCAGCAGUGGGGAAUUUUCCGCAAUGGGCGAAAGCCUGACGGAGCAACGCCGCGUGAGGGAUGAAGGCCUCUGGGCUGUAAACCUCUUUUAUCAAGGAAGAAGAUCUGACGGUACUUGAUGAAUAAGCCACGGCUAAUUCCGUGCCAGCAGCCGCGGUAAUACGGGAGUGGCAAGCGUUAUCCGGAAUUAUUGGGCGUAAAGCGUCCGCAGGCGGCCCUACAAGUCUGCUGUUAAAAAAGUGGAGCUUAACUCCAUCAUGGCAGUGGAAACUGUUGGGCUCGAGUGUGGUAGGGGCAGAGGGAAUUUCCCGGUGUAGCGGUGAAAUGCGUAGAUAUCGGGAAGAAACACCAGUGGCGAAGGCGCUCUGCUGGGCCAUCACUGACGCUCAUGGACGAAAGCCAGGGGAGCGAAAGGGAUUAGAUACCCCUGUAGUCCUGGCCGUAAACGAUGAACACUAGGUGUCGGGGGAAUCGACCCCUCCGGUGUCGUAGCCAACGCGUUAAGUGUUCCGCCUGGGGAGUACGCACGCAAGUGUGAAACUCAAAGGAAUUGACGGGGGCCCGCACAAGCGGUGGAGUAUGUGGUUUAAUUCGAUGCAACGCGAAGAACCUUACCAGGAUUUGACAUCCUGACGAAUCUCUUGGAAACUUGAGAGUGCCUUCGGGAGCGCAGUGACAGGUGGUGCAUGGCUGUCGUCAGCUCGUGUCGUGAGAUGUUGGGUUAAGUCCCGCAACGAGCGCAACCCACGUCUUUAGUUGCCAGCAUUUAGUUGGGCACUCUAGAGAGACCGCCGGUGAUAAACCGGAGGAAGGUGUGGAUGACGUCAAGUCAUCAUGCCCCUUAUAUCCUGGGCUACACACGUACUACAAUGCUACGGACAAAGGGCAGCAAGUUCGCGAGGACAAGCAAAUCCCAUAAACCGUAGCUCAGUUCAGAUCGUAGGCUGCAACUCGCCUACGUGAAGGAGGAAUCGCUAGUAAUCGCAGGUCAGCAUACUGCGGUGAAUACGUUCCCGGGCCUUGUACACACCGCCCGUCACACCAUGGAAGUUGGCCAUGCCCGAAGCCGUUACUCCAACCCUUGUGGAGGAGGACGUCGAAGGUGGGGCUGAUGACUGGGGUGAAGUCGUAACAAGGUAGCCGAAGGGCGAAUU
Molecule: ribosomal RNA, 1462 nt
Filed under: uncultured cyanobacterium
Lineage: Bacteria; Bacillati; Cyanobacteriota
Description: bacterial SSU rRNA
Rfam family: Bacterial small subunit ribosomal RNA
Source: RNAcentral